RNAcentral lists this long non-coding RNA (504 nucleotides) under Prunus persica (peach). RNAcentral's name for it is "long non-coding RNA (PPER_LNC003273)". Lineage: Eukaryota; Viridiplantae; Streptophyta; Magnoliopsida; Rosales; Rosaceae. The record is from RNAcentral.
CGAGCUCAUUGGCUUCGGAGUCGUAGAAACUCCGAAGUUAAGCGAGUUGGGGGCUAGAGCAAUUCCAGGAUGGGUGACCCACUGGGAAGUUGCUCGUGAGUUCCUAGAAACAAAAUCGUGCGGUCAGAGAGGGGGGCCCAAAGCGGACAAUAUCGUACUACGGCGGAGCCGAUCCCGGGGUGUGACAAUUUGGUAUCAGAGCCAUUCUGCCGUGUGGUGCGAGUGUGCCGACGAGGACGUCGGGCCCUUAAGGGGAGUGGAUUGUAAGAUCCCACAUCAACCAACGGAGAGGGGGUGAUGUGCCUUAUAUGUGCACACCCGCAUCCAUCUAGCACGAGGCCUUUUUGGAGCUCACUGGCUUUGGAGUCGUAGGAACUCCGAAGUUAAGCGAGUUGAGGGCUAGAGCAACCCCAAGAUGGGUGACCCAUUGGGAAGUUGCUCAUGAGUUUCCAGAAAUAAAACCGUGAGGGCCAGAAAGGGGGCCCAAAGCGGACAAUAUCGUGC